RNAcentral lists this ribosomal RNA (487 nucleotides) under uncultured bacterium. Its description in RNAcentral is "partial 16S ribosomal RNA". It matches the Rfam family "Bacterial small subunit ribosomal RNA", at positions 28 to 507 of the family's 1533-position model. The record is from RNAcentral.
GAUGAACGCUAGCGAUAGGCUUAACACAUGCAAGUCGAGGGGCAGCACAAGGUAGCUUGCUCUCUGGGUGGCGACCGGCGCACGGGUGCGUAACGCGUAUGCAACUUGCCCUAUACAGGAGGAUAACCCGUCGAAAGACGGACUAAUACUGCGUAUGCUCACAACUUGGCAUCAAGUGGAGAGGAAAGAAAUUCGGUAUAGGAUAGGCAUGCGUCCCAUUAGCUUGUUGGUGAGGUAACGGCUCACCAAGGCAACGAUGGGUAGGGGAACUGAGAGGUUUAUCCCCCACACUGGUACUGAGACACGGACCAGACUCCUACGGGAGGCAGCAGUGGGGAAUAUUGGUCAAUGGGCGCGAGCCUGAACCAGCCAAGUCGCGUGAAGGAUGACUGUCUUAUGGAUUGUAAACUUCUUUUAUACGGGAAUAACAAGAGUCACGUGUGACUCCCUGCAUGUACCGUAUGAAUAAGCAUCGGCUAACUCCGUG